GGUCUAAUAGUGUAGUGGUUAGCACACGGGAUUUUGAUUGGUAAAAUGGCACAUCGGUUUCCCGUAACCCAGGUUCGAGUCCUGGUUAGACCU
Non-coding RNA from Stygiomarasmius scandens, 93 nucleotides. Lineage: Eukaryota; Fungi; Basidiomycota; Agaricomycetes; Agaricales; Campanellaceae. The record is from the annotation of a GenBank genome assembly.